This 253-nucleotide ribosomal RNA is filed under the name uncultured bacterium. RNAcentral's name for it is "partial 16S ribosomal RNA". It matches the Rfam family "Bacterial small subunit ribosomal RNA", at positions 524 to 776 of the family's 1533-position model. The record is from RNAcentral.
UACGUAGGGGGCAAGCGUUGUCCGGAAUCAUUGGGCGUAAAGCGCGUGUAGGCGGCCAGAAAAGUCCGGUGUGAAAACUCGAGGCUCAACUUCGAGCUGUCGGUGGAAACUUUCUGGCUAGAGUCCGGAAGAGGAGAAUGGAAUUCCUGGUGUAGCGGUGAAAUGCGUAGAUAUCAAGAGGAACACCUGCGGCGAAGGCGGGUUGGUGGGCCGACACUGACGCUGAGGCGCGAAAGCCAGGGGAGCGAACGGG